GGUUAAGCGACUAAGCGUACACGGUGGAUGCCCUGGCAGUCAGAGGCGAUGAAGGACGUGCUAAUCUGCGAUAAGCGUCGGUAAGGUGAUAUGAACCGUUAUAACCGGCGAUUUCCGAAUGGGGAAACCCAGUGUGUUUCGACACACUAUCAUUAACUGAAUCCAUAGGUUAAUGAGGCGAACCGGGGGAACUGAAACAUCUAAGUACCCCGAGGAAAAGAAAUCAACCGAGAUUCCCCCAGUAGCGGCGAGCGAACGGGGAGCAGCCCAGAGCCUGAAUCAGUGUGUGUGUUAGUGGAAGCGUCUGGAAAGGCGCGCGAUACAGGGUGACAGCCCCGUACACAAAAAUGCACAUACUGUGAGCUCGAUGAGUAGGGCGGGACACGUGGUAUCCUGUCUGAAUAUGGGGGGACCAUCCUCCAAGGCUAAAUACUCCUGACUGACCGAUAGUGAACCAGUACCGUGAGGGAAAGGCGAAAAGAACCCCGGCGAGGGGAGUGAAAAAGAACCUGAAACCGUGUACGUACAAGCAGUGGGAGCACGCUUCGGCGUGUGACUGCGUACCUUUUGUAUAAUGGGUCAGCGACUUAUAUUCUGUAGCAAGGUUAACCGAAUAGGGGAGCCGAAGGGAAACCGAGUCUUAACUGGGCGUUAAGUUGCAGGGUAUAGACCCGAAACCCGGUGAUCUAGCCAUGGGCAGGUUGAAGGUUGGGUAACACUAACUGGAGGACCGAACCGACUAAUGUUGAAAAAUUAGCGGAUGACUUGUGGCUGGGGGUGAAAGGCCAAUCAAACCGGGAGAUAGCUGGUUCUCCCCGAAAGCUAUUUAGGUAGCGCCUCGUGAAUUCAUCUCCGGGGGUAGAGCACUGUUUCGGCAAGGGGGUCAUCCCGACUUACCAACCCGAUGCAAACUGCGAAUACCGGAGAAUGUUAUCACGGGAGACACACGGCGGGUGCUAACGUCCGUCGUGAAGAGGGAAACAACCCAGACCGCCAGCUAAGGUCCCAAAGUCAUGGUUAAGUGGGAAACGAUGUGGGAAGGCCCAGACAGCCAGGAUGUUGGCUUAGAAGCAGCCAUCAUUUAAAGAAAGCGUAAUAGCUCACUGGUCGAGUCGGCCUGCGCGGAAGAUGUAACGGGGCUAAACCAUGCACCGAAGCUGCGGCAGCGACACUAUGUGUUGUUGGGUAGGGGAGCGUUCUGUAAGCCUGUGAAGGUGUGCUGUGAGGCAUGCUGGAGGUAUCAGAAGUGCGAAUGCUGACAUAAGUAACGAUAAAGCGGGUGAAAAGCCCGCUCGCCGGAAGACCAAGGGUUCCUGUCCAACGUUAAUCGGGGCAGGGUGAGUCGACCCCUAAGGCGAGGCCGAAAGGCGUAGUCGAUGGGAAACAGGUUAAUAUUCCUGUACUUGGUGUUACUGCGAAGGGGGGACGGAGAAGGCUAUGUUGGCCGGGCGACGGUUGUCCCGGUUUAAGCGUGUAGGCUGGUUUUCCAGGCAAAUCCGGAAAAUCAAGGCUGAGGCGUGAUGACGAGGCACUACGGUGCUGAAGCAACAAAUGCCCUGCUUCCAGGAAAAGCCUCUAAGCAUCAGGUAACAUCAAAUCGUACCCCAAACCGACACAGGUGGUCAGGUAGAGAAUACCAAGGCGCUUGAGAGAACUCGGGUGAAGGAACUAGGCAAAAUGGUGCCGUAACUUCGGGAGAAGGCACGCUGAUAUGUAGGUGAAGUCCCUCGCGGAUGGAGCUGAAAUCAGUCGAAGAUACCAGCUGGCUGCAACUGUUUAUUAAAAACACAGCACUGUGCAAACACGAAAGUGGACGUAUACGGUGUGACGCCUGCCCGGUGCCGGAAGGUUAAUUGAUGGGGUCAGCGCAAGCGAAGCUCUUGAUCGAAGCCCCGGUAAACGGCGGCCGUAACUAUAACGGUCCUAAGGUAGCGAAAUUCCUUGUCGGGUAAGUUCCGACCUGCACGAAUGGCGUAAUGAUGGCCAGGCUGUCUCCACCCGAGACUCAGUGAAAUUGAACUCGCUGUGAAGAUGCAGUGUACCCGCGGCAAGACGGAAAGACCCCGUGAACCUUUACUAUAGCUUGACACUGAACAUUGAGCCUUGAUGUGUAGGAUAGGUGGGAGGCUUUGAAGUGUGGACGCCAGUCUGCAUGGAGCCGACCUUGAAAUACCACCCUUUAAUGUUUGAUGUUCUAACGUGGACCCGUGAUCCGGGUUGCGGACAGUGUCUGGUGGGUAGUUUGACUGGGGCGGUCUCCUCCUAAAGAGUAACGGAGGAGCACGAAGGUUGGCUAAUCCUGGUCGGACAUCAGGAGGUUAGUGCAAUGGCAUAAGCCAGCUUGACUGCGAGCGUGACGGCGCGAGCAGGUGCGAAAGCAGGUCAUAGUGAUCCGGUGGUUCUGAAUGGAAGGGCCAUCGCUCAACGGAUAAAAGGUACUCCGGGGAUAACAGGCUGAUACCGCCCAAGAGUUCAUAUCGACGGCGGUGUUUGGCACCUCGAUGUCGGCUCAUCACAUCCUGGGGCUGAAGUAGGUCCCAAGGGUAUGGCUGUUCGCCAUUUAAAGUGGUACGCGAGCUGGGUUUAGAACGUCGUGAGACAGUUCGGUCCCUAUCUGCCGUGGGCGCUGGAGAACUGAGGGGGGCUGCUCCUAGUACGAGAGGACCGGAGUGGACGCAUCACUGGUGUUCGGGUUGUCAUGCCAAUGGCACUGCCCGGUAGCUAAAUGCGGAAGAGAUAAGUGCUGAAAGCAUCUAAGCACGAAACUUGCCCCGAGAUGAGUUCUCCCUGACCCUUUAAGGGUCCUGAAGGAACGUUGAAGACGACGACGUUGAUAGGCCGGGUGUGUAAGCGCAGCGAUGCGUUGAGCUAACCGGUACUAAUGAACCGUGAGGCUUAACCUU
This 2903-nucleotide ribosomal RNA is filed under the name Escherichia coli. RNAcentral's name for it is "23S ribosomal RNA". It matches the Rfam family "Bacterial large subunit ribosomal RNA". Lineage: Bacteria; Pseudomonadati; Pseudomonadota; Gammaproteobacteria; Enterobacterales; Enterobacteriaceae. The record is from RNAcentral.